AGAGCUUAGGCUCUGAUUAUUUUUGACUAGAUAAAGUACAAGUAGUAACAAGGUUUCAGUUGGAGAACCAGUGAUGGAUCAUUU
This 84-nucleotide ribosomal RNA is filed under the name Enterocytozoon bieneusi. RNAcentral's name for it is "partial small subunit ribosomal RNA". The record is from RNAcentral. Lineage: Eukaryota; Fungi; Microsporidia; Enterocytozoonidae.